Molecule: ribosomal RNA, 605 nt
Filed under: uncultured bacterium
Lineage: Bacteria
Description: bacterial SSU rRNA
Rfam family: Bacterial small subunit ribosomal RNA
Source: RNAcentral
CCUACGGGAGGCAGCAGUAGGGAAUAUUGGACAAUGGGCGCAAGCCUGAUCCAGCCAUCCCGCGUGAAGGAUUAAGGCCCUCUGGGUUGUAAACUUCUUUUCUCUGGGAAUAAAAAGUGGAAUUCUUUCCGCCUUGAAGGUACCAGAGGAAUAAGCACCGGCUAACUCCGUGCCAGCAGCCGCGGUAAUACGGAGGGUGCAAGCGUUAUCCGGAUUCACUGGGUUUAAAGGGAGCGUAGGUGGCUUUGUAAGUCAGUGGUGAAAUGCCGCAGCUCAACUGCGGAACUGCCAUUGAUACUGCUUAGCUUGAAUCACGUCGAGGUGGAUGGAAUAAUACAUGUAGCGGUGAAAUGCUUAGAUAUGUAUUAGAACACCGAUUGCGAAGGCAGUUCACUAGGCGUGUAUUGACACUGAGGCUCGAAAGCGUGGGGAUCAAACAGGAUUAGAUACCCUGGUAGUCCACGCCCUAAACGAUGUAAACUCGACAUUAGCGAUAUACUGUUAGUGUCCAAGCGAAAGCGUUAAGUUUACCACCUGGGAAGUACGACCGCAAGGUUGAAACUUAAAUAGAUAGNGNGAGAGNGCGAGCGACACGAGGGAGGAGG